Molecule: long non-coding RNA, 1976 nt
Organism: Schistocerca serialis cubense
Lineage: Eukaryota; Metazoa; Arthropoda; Insecta; Orthoptera; Acrididae
Exons: 3
Source: RefSeq, a predicted model, not a curated record
GCGACUGUUAUGUUAGACUGUGGUUCUAGUGACCAAGCAUAGAAGCCGUGAAUGAAUACGUAGCACAUAACUGCAGACACAUUACACGUGUCGUCAUCCGUGUGAGACUGCAGCCAGUACGGGCUUCUCAAUUGUGGUGUGUCUCUCUGUAAUCAUGCAGCGCGAGGAAGCCUGUGCAGUGAGACGUAAAUUGAAACCAAUGUUUACACAUUGAAGAUACGGGAAGGUCUACAAAGCCAAGUAUGGAUAUGCAUUUUUGUUGGUUGUAGACGAAAACAGUGCGUCUACUGGGUACGUAUCGCGCAUAAACUGCUCCACAUUAUUGUGUUUCCAGUCGGGAACCCUCAUUUAAAGAAACACAGUUGCAAGAAACCGACCAAGAUACACCUCCUUCAGGGAGACCGGCACUAAUAAAAAAUAGUGUUACGGCAAAGUGUGCUAAACAUAUGAGACCUUUUAAUGCUGUUUCCGGUGAAAGUUUCAGAGAACUAGGCCAAGAAUUAAUACAUCUCGGUGCGCAUUAUGGAGAAGUUAACGUGUCAGAUGUCAUGCCACAUCCUCUACUAUAAGCAGCCAUGUCAAAGAACAAACUUAUGCAAAACCGAACAGUAUAAUGCCUUCUGUUAUUGCAGAAGUUGUUAAUAAAACAUGUGCUGCGACAGUUGAUAUGUGGACUGAUUCGCAUAAUCAGGUGCACUAUUUGACACUUACAACACAUUACAUUAACACAGAUUGGUAUCUUGUGAACAAUGUUUUAUUUACAACAAAAUUCCCAGACGUUAAUAUUAUGAAUGAAAUUGAAUCGUGAAUGGCUGAUUGGGACAUUCCACCGGACAUGUUGCACAGUUUUGUCUUUGUCUCUGACCAGGGUGCCUGCCAAUGUAAUAAAGGCUUUGGAAAAUCACAAAAGGAUUCCUUGUGCUGCUCAUUGUACAAACACAGCACUUAGCCCUACUUUCGAUGAAGAUAACUUAUUGUUAAAUCAUGCCCCAACAUCGCAUCAACAAUAAAUACUGCAAAAUGCAUUGUAAAGUACAUUAAGAAAAGUGACCUUUGCUCGUCUUUGAAAUCUUCGUUGAAACCUUGUUUCUGCACACGCUGGAACAGCUUGUACACUAUGCUGUAAUCCUUACGCACUCAGUAUAACGAAGCUGCUGCUUUGCUGACGGAAAAGGACUCUGCUUACAGAUCGCAAGGAUAUGAUAAUGAGCUUGUAGGAAAAAUUGCGCAUUUUCUGAGACCAUUUAAAGAGGCCACAGAUGAGUUAGAAGGCGAAAAAGAACCGACAAUCCAGUUAGUUCUUCAUUGGUUUCACAAACUGCAACAAAUUUGCAGUGUCAAUGACACUGACUGUCAGGCGGGAGGUACAAAGGAUUAAAAAUCGAGCAUUGACUUUCGCUGGUGAGAAGAUUGUGAUCACUUCCAGGCAUAAAAUUGCUACGUUUCCUUGGCCGUCUUUCCGUGAGCUUAAUAUGCCUGAAAUAAAUGAAAAGCAGGAAAUUCUUAGCAAUGUGCAACAAAUGUGUGCUACUUACGCAGAUCCUUCAAGUAUUGUGUCACCACCACCCAGAAAGAGAGAUCGUUUCAAGGAAUGGGGGAACAGAUCAUCCGCAACAGAUGAAGUAUAACUCUACAUUUUUAUGCACCCCGGAGAUGAUGAUGACAUCUUAGAAUGGUGGAGCAGACAUAAAACAGAUUUGGCAGGCCUGGCUGCAGUUGCAAGAACGUAUUUUAUGUAUCCCAGCAACAAGCGCACCUAAUGAAAGAUGCUUUAGUAAAACUGGCAUGUUACUAACAAAUCGCCGCAGCCAAUUAAAUCCGGAACGCGUUAGUGAUUUACUGCUGAUCAACAAUAACUAUAAUUUUGUUUCUGUUGCAAACAAGUGAAAAGUAUGACAAAGUACGUCUGUAAAUGUUUAAUGUUCUUUGUAUGCUUUCUUUAUGAAGAUGGUUGUCUUCUAGGUUUACAAGGACAG